RNAcentral lists this ribosomal RNA (466 nucleotides) under uncultured bacterium. RNAcentral's name for it is "partial 16S ribosomal RNA". It matches the Rfam family "Bacterial small subunit ribosomal RNA", at positions 28 to 507 of the family's 1533-position model. The record is from RNAcentral.
GAUGAACGCUGGCGGCGUGCUUAACACAUGCAAGUCGAACGAUGAAGCCCAGCUUGCUGGGUGGAUUAGUGGCGAACGGGUGAGUAACACGUGAGUAACCUGCCCUUAACUCUGGGAUAAGCCUGGGAAACUGGGUCUAAUACCGGAUAGGAGCGUCCACCGCAUGGUGGGUGUUGGAAAGAUUUAUCGGUUUUGGAUGGACUCGCGGCCUAUCAGCUUGCUGGUGAGGUAAUGGCUCACCAAGGCGACGACGGGUAGCCGGCCUGAGAGGGUGACCGGCCACACUGGGACUGAGACACGGCCCAGACUCCUACGGGAGACAGCAGUGGGGAAUAUUGCACAAUGGGCGCAAGCCUGAUGCAGCGACGCCGCGUGAGGGAUGACGGCCUUCGGGUUGUAAACCUCUUUCAGUAGGGAAGAAGCGAAAGUGACGGUACCUGCAGAAGAAGCACCGGCUAACUACGUG